Molecule: ribosomal RNA, 437 nt
Filed under: uncultured bacterium
Lineage: Bacteria
Description: bacterial SSU rRNA
Rfam family: Bacterial small subunit ribosomal RNA
Source: RNAcentral
AUUGAACGCUGGCGGCAUGCCUUACACAUGCAAGUCGAACGGCAGCACGGGAGCAAUCCUGGUGGCGAGUGGCGAACGGGUGAGUAAUAUAUCGGAACGUGCCCGGUCGUGGGGGAUAACGUAGCGAAAGCUACGCUAAUACCGCAUACGAUCUACGGAUGAAAGCGGGGGAUCGCAAGACCUCGCGCGAUUGGAGCGGCCGAUAUCAGAUUAGGUAGUUGGUGAGGUAAAGGCUCACCAAGCCGACGAUCUGUAGCUGGUCUGAGAGGACGACCAGCCACACUGGGACUGAGACACGGCCCAGACUCCUACGGGAGGCAGCAGUGGGGAAUUUUGGACAAUGGGCGCAAGCCUGAUCCAGCAAUGCCGCGUGCAGGAUGAAGGCCUUCGGUUGGUAAACUGGACUUUUUGUUACGGGUAACGAAACGGUAGGAGCG